Molecule: long non-coding RNA, 865 nt
Organism: Mauremys reevesii (Reeves's turtle)
Lineage: Eukaryota; Metazoa; Chordata; Testudines; Geoemydidae
Exons: 6
Source: RefSeq, a predicted model, not a curated record
AAAUGAGUGGAAAGCACAUCUAAAGGGUCAGCGCACAUCAGACUGCCCAAGGGUAUGGUACAUGAGCGGGCCAUCACUGCACGGAUGACAAAGGCAGGAUCUGGAACAUCCUAGAGUCAGAUUAAGCAACCCAACAACGCUCCAGUAGCAAUGGCAUUCAAUUACUGAUGGCCUACUUCAGAUGUGAUCCAGCAACCUAGAGGGACCGACCCCCUUGUGUCCUGGGCACAGUGAGGAGUCACCUCAGGUUGAGGUACCAAGCAUCACAAAAAGAACCCAGGACCCAGCGAGGAGAGGGGAGAAGCCAAUCCAAGUAGCAAGCACCAGGAAGGAGGUUAGAGCCACACUUCAGGGGAGGGGCUAUAUCAGUAGUAUGUACUGGAGACAUGAUGCACAAUAAUUAGGUUACAGCAAUGCAAAACAAGUCAAUGGUUUACUGGCAGGUCAGUUGGAGACCUAAUUUGUGUAUACAAUUGCCUUCAUAAUUUGGGUGAUGAUGGAUACAAAUGCAGAGCAGGCAUUAUUGAAAGGAAUCCAGACAGUGAACAGUUACAACUGGGAAGCCGCCUUGCCUGAUAGACAGGGCAUUGGUCUUGGACUCAGGCAAUUUGGAUUCUAGUCAUCACUCUGACAAUGACUCCCCUCCACUUCAGGCACAUCACUUAUCUACUCUGUGCCUCAAUUCCAUAAAAUAGGGAAAAUUAUACCCAUUUCUUAGAAAAGCUUUGAGAUCUACAAAUGAAAAGUGCUAUGAACUCAAGCCAAACCUCAAUGAAAAUAAACAGACCAUCUAAAAAGGUGAAAAGUGAACUAAAGUUCUGCUGCAUCAGGAAAAGUAUCCAACCACCCUCUUCUGACACCUAAG